AGGCGGGAUUACUGGCUCUGGUCAAACGGAUUAUACUUCAUGUGUCUGUGUCAAAGCACUGUCUUUGUUUCCUCUGCAGUGGCGACGGCACUAUGAGAAAAAACAUAGAUGUGUGGAAGAAAUGGACGACCAGCAACAGCCUGCACCUUCACGGGCUCCAGCUGCGGAUCGCAGUGCGAGGGGUUGAACAGCUGGCCGUCGGAGGCAGAAUGGUCUACUCCACCUGUUCUCUCAACCCCAUAGAGGACGAAGCUGUCAUAGCCGCUCUGCUG
Long non-coding RNA from Cynoglossus semilaevis (tongue sole), 272 nucleotides. RefSeq lists it as uncharacterized. The record is from RefSeq and is a predicted model, not a curated record. NCBI's taxonomy places the organism in Eukaryota, Metazoa, Chordata, Actinopteri, Pleuronectiformes, Cynoglossidae. The transcript has 2 exons.